CUGUCCCCAACCCAAGGCCCCAUCCCAAGACCCCAGACCCCAUCCCCGUCCCUGUCCCCAUCCCAGGCCCCAUUCCUGUCCCCAUCCCUACCCCAAGGCUCCAUCCCAAGGCCCCAUUCCUGUCCCUGUCCCCCUCCCAGGCCCCAUUCCCGUCCCAUCCCCAUCCCAAGGCCCCACCCCGGUCCCAGCCCCCCUCCCAAAUCCCCAUCCCCCUCCCCGUCCCCAUUCCGUGCCCCCCCAGGACGAAGCCCCCGCCCCUGCCCCCCCCUCCUCACUCCCCCGCCGCCGCCCACCGCGGCCAAACCGGAGUGACUCCGGAGCAGCUGUGAGGCGCCUGAGGUGUUCGCCGAGCUGGUUGGCUGGGAGAGCUGUCAAUCAGCGCCGCCAACCCGCCUUCUCGACGAUUCCAAACGCGGAUUGGCUGAGCGCCGCGUCCGUCUUAAAGGCUCCGCCCUCCCUGAGGGGAGCCGGCUGCUGAUUGGCCCGCAGCCCACCCCCGCGGUUUCCAGGCCACCCUCUCGGUCUCUAAGCCACAGCUGCCCUCACACCGUGGGAGCGGAGCGCCCGGAAGGAGCUGAUUGGACCCUCGCGCCGUCAAUCCUCAACACCCACCCUUCCAAUUGGCUCACCAUUCCACCCCCCACCCUGAUUGGCCAACACCCCCUUUAACCCCUCCCCCUCCUUCCCUGCGCUGCCAUCCCGCCCUCUCUCCCCAUUGGUUCCCGCGCCUGUCAAUCCUCUCUUUAUCCCCUCCCAUCCCGCUGGGAGCCGCCGCUGAUUGGCUGGCGGCGGCGGCGAGGCGCUUCCGGCGCCUUCUCGUGGGUCCCCCCGCUGAGGGGGCUGAGGGGGGCGGCGGCCGCCAUGUCGAGCCCGGCGAAGCGCCCGGACGCCUCCGACCUCCUGGAGCGCUGCGGCGGCUGCCGGGAGCGCCUCAGGGCCGCCAGGGAGCCGAGGCUGCUGCCCUGCCUCCAUUCGCUCUGCCGACAGUGCCUGCAGCCCGGCCCGGGGCCGGCGGCCGCCAACGGGGGGCCGAGUGAGGGGGCAGGUGA
This 1049-nucleotide long non-coding RNA is filed under the name Anas platyrhynchos platyrhynchos (common mallard). Its description in RNAcentral is "lncRNA (ENSAPLG00000020412.1)". Lineage: Eukaryota; Metazoa; Chordata; Aves; Anseriformes; Anatidae. The record is from RNAcentral.